GCCAGGUAUGGUGGCGCACACCUGUAGUCCCAGCUACUCGGGAGGCUGAGGCAGGAGGAUCACUCGAGCCCAGGAGGUUGAGGCUGCAGUGAGCUACGACUGUGACACCGCACUCCAGCCUGGGCAACAGAGCAAGACCCUGUCUCAA
This 148-nucleotide non-coding RNA is filed under the name Gorilla gorilla gorilla (western lowland gorilla). The record is from Rfam by way of RNAcentral. Lineage: Eukaryota; Metazoa; Chordata; Mammalia; Primates; Hominidae.